This 457-nucleotide ribosomal RNA is filed under the name uncultured bacterium. Its description in RNAcentral is "bacterial SSU rRNA". It matches the Rfam family "Bacterial small subunit ribosomal RNA", at positions 340 to 786 of the family's 1533-position model. The record is from RNAcentral.
UACGGAAGGCAGCAGUGGGGAAUAUUGCACAAUGGGCGCAAGCCUGAUGCAGCCAUGCCGCGUGUAUGAAGAAGGCCUUCGGGUUGUAAAGUACUUUCAGUCGUGAGGAAGGUGUUAAGGUUAAUAACCUUAGCAAUUGACGUUAGCGACAGAAGAAGCACCGGCUAACUCCGUGCCAGCAGCCGCGGUAAUACGGAGGGUGCGAGCGUUAAUCGGAAUUACUGGGCGUAAAGGGCACGCAGGCGGUUAAUUAAGUUGGAUGUGAAAUCCCCGGGCUUAACCUGGGAAUGGCAUUCAAGACUGGUUAGCUAGAGUCUUGUAGAGGGGGUAGAAUUCCAUGUGUAGCGGUGAAAUGCGUAGAGAUGUGGAGGAAUACCGGUGGCGAAAGGCGGCCCCCUGGACAAAAGGACUGACGCUCAUGUGCGAAAGCGUGGGGAGCAAACAGGGAUUAGAUACC